RNAcentral lists this long non-coding RNA (2903 nucleotides) under Oryctolagus cuniculus (rabbit). RNAcentral describes it as "lncRNA (ENSOCUG00000032305.1)". The record is from RNAcentral. Lineage: Eukaryota; Metazoa; Chordata; Mammalia; Lagomorpha; Leporidae.
AUGCCCAUUUUACAAAAGAGAAAACUAAGUCAUACAAAAUCCCAUCUUUUUCACCCUAGAAAUUGUUUUAUUAUUACUAUUGCUUUUAGAAUUUCAUACAUUUCUUUCUCCCUGCAAAUUCCUGUUUGUUGGAUAUUUGGAACUGGGGUCUUUUUUUUUAAAAGAGAUUUUAUUUAUUUAUUUGAAGGCACAGUUGGAGGGAUGGGCCAGAACUGGGCCCAUCUAAAACCAGGAACCAGGAGCUUCUGCCAGGUCUCACACACAGGUGCAGGGGCCCACAGCGCUGAUCCAAAGCCAGGAGCCAGGUACUUAUCCUGGUCUCCCAUGCGGGUACAGGGCCCAAGCACUUGGGCCAUCCUCCACUGCACUCCCUGGCCACAGCAGAGAGGUGGCCUGGAAGAGGGGCAACCGGGACAGAACUGCCUUCUCAGGCCUUAGUAGAGCUGGAUCCAAAGUGGAGCAGCCAGGACUAGAGCUAGAACCCAUAUGGGAAGCCGGUGCCCCAGGCAGUGGUUUACUGGCUGUGUCACAGCGCCAACCCCAUUGCGUCGUCAUUGACAGUGGUCACCCUGCUGUGUCACAGAGCACUGGAACCCUCCCCCCACCUGUAACAUGGUGUCUGCUGACCUGUCCCCACCCGCUAGUGACCUUGCAGACUGUGAUCGAGUGCACUCACAGUGGACAGAGGGCGAUGGCCAUUGUGGGGAGUGACUAAACCCCCUCCCAAGGUGCCUUCUUGGCUCUGCCACUGUCUGCCCGCCCAGCGGCCAAGGGCUCCGAGGAAUGGGCCCAGCCUCAGGAAGCUGAGCACUGCUGGGCAGAGGGAAGGCAGGGCGAGCCCGCUAUGCAGGCUGCAGGCCAUCUUGUGCGCUUACGUGUUCAGGGCUGACCAGGUCUCAGGAAUCUUGACAGCCACAUGACGCCAGCUGUUGCCCACGCAUCUGAUCUUAAUCCCCACACUCAACGCCUCUGAAUCCCAGCCCUGCAGAGAUCCUGCCCGUCUCCCCCGCAGAGCUGCACGCAGCCUCUGGAGUGGGCAGGAGGCCCUCCAUGCGCUGGGACCGGAGCAGGCCGAAUCCCUGCAUCGAGAGGCCCCGGGGGACUCUCCGUGUCCCGGUGCAGCCAGGGUCCCACGGUGGGUGCGUUUGUCAGAAUGUGUUGCCUGGUCUCUGUGCGUGUGCGCCUUCCCCUCGAUGGGAAGCUCACCUGCAAACUGAAAAGGAGCUCCGGUGGAUGAGGCUCAGAAGUCAAGUUCAGGGUAUGGUCAAGGUCUUGGUAAGCCAUCAGGGCACAGACCAAAAGAGAUGGAUUCUUGAGGAUCUCUCUGGGAGCUGAGCCUGCCUUAGUUAAGGAGACUCUUUUAAGUUUCAAAUUCCCAGGAAGGGACCGAAGAUUCUGAUGAGCCUGGUGGCCAAGUGGGGAGUUCUCAAGGUCAAAGGCAUCCUUCUACCAUGCUCGGGGCGAUUCCAGAGGAAGGCAGCAGGGGUGAGCCUCGGACCACCCACUGGUGUGCAUUUCAGAGGCAUGGGAUGUCCUGCUGGUAUUUCUUCUGUCUCUUGUUUUUCAAGUAAAUGAAAAUACACAUUUAAAAGGGACAGAAUAUUUCCCCAAAUGCCUACAACAGACAGGGCUGGGCCAGGCCAACGCCAGGAAUCAGAAACUCCAUCUGGUUUUCCCAUGGCGGUGGCAGGGGCUCAAGCACUCGGGCCAUCAUCUGUCUUUCCAGGGAGCAUGAGCGGGACACCAGAGUGGAACCCACACUCCAGUCUGAGAGGCAGGUGUCCCCGUGUCUGCCAUCCCUGACCCCAACCUUCCCUGUAUCACCUGAAUCCUUGCUGGGGGCAUCACUGAUUCAAUGGUGUAUGGAUGGGGCAUUUCCAGGAAAGCACGUCCUGUAUAUGCAAAUGAGCAGGCUCCUGUGAUUCCUGGGGCUGAGAAGUUCCAUGGUCUGCUCUGUUAGGCUGGGAGCCCCGGUGGAAGGCCAGCUCAGGAAGUCAAGGUUAGAUUUCCCUCUUCCUGCACCUUUUUGUUCCGUUUAGGCCAUCGGUGGACUGGAUGCUGAUCAACCACUGGGGAAGGCCCCUACUGUGCAGAGUCCAUGCAUUCAAAUGUUCAUCUCACCCAGAAACCCCCUUGAAGACACACCCAGAAGUGAGAAAUGUGGGCCCCUCACGGUACCGGAAGUUGGCACACGUAGGAAUCGGGGACAUGUCUUCAGAGGGGUGGAUGGCGUUUACUACGCAUGCUCAGUGGGAAGCUCACCUGGAAACGGAAUACUCUGUGGAAAGCUCUCCCGAGGACUUCAUCAAGGCAUAGAGCAUUCUGAGUUGGCAGCUCACAUGGGGACUAAGUUCUAGGAGGUCCUGACCACGCUUAGAGGUAGCUCACCUGGGCUGUGAGCAUGCUCAGUGGGUUAAGCACCCGGGGACUGUGCAUGCUCCUGGUGUAGCUCGCUCAGUGUACCUAAGCACCUUGCCAUAGUUUACAACUAAGAAUGCUCAGUCCCCAGGAGCCACCCACUUAGAAUCCUCCGUGCCCAGAUGAUCUACCCAGUGCCCAGCUUAGGUAGCCUCGGAGAACAUUGUGUCCUCAGGUUGGGCACACUGAGCAUGCUCAGGUUUACCUGGGGAGAGGAGAGGAUUUUAAAAUGGAAUAGAAGGGGCCAGGACUGUGGCGCAGCAGGUUAAAGCCCUGGCCUGAAACGCUGGCAUCCCAUAUGGGCGCCGGUUCUAGUUCUGGCUGUUCCUCUUCUGUUCCAGCUCUCUGCUGUGGCCUGGGAAAGCAGAAGAUGGCCCAAGUGUUUGGGCCCCUGCGGCCAUCUGGGGAGUGAACUAGCAGAUGGAAGACCUCUCUCUGUAACUCUUUCAAAUAAAUAAAUCUUUUUAAAAAAUGAAAUAGAAUGC